This 510-nucleotide ribosomal RNA is filed under the name uncultured bacterium. RNAcentral's name for it is "bacterial SSU rRNA". It matches the Rfam family "Bacterial small subunit ribosomal RNA", at positions 30 to 526 of the family's 1533-position model. The record is from RNAcentral.
AUUGAACGCUGGCGGCACGCCUAACACAUGCAAGUCGAACGGCAGCACGGAGUGUAGCAAUACACUCUGGUGGCGAGUGGCGGACGGGUGAGUAAUACGUAGGAACCUAUCCUCAAGAGGGGGACAACCAAGGGAAACUUUGGCUAAUACCGCAUAAACUCUUCGGAGGAAAGUUGCCCGCAAGGGUGACGUUUGAGGCAGGGCCUGCGUCCGAUUAGCUAGUUGGUGGGGUAAAAGCCUACCAAGGCGAUGAUCGGUAACUGGUCUGAGAGGACGACCAGUCACACUGGGACUGAGACACGGCCCAGACUCCUACGGGAGGCAGCAGUGGGGAAUAUUGGACAAUGGGGGCAACCCUGAUCCAGCGAUGCCGCGUGGGUGAAGAAGGCCUUCGGGUUGUAAAGCCCUUUAGGUUGGGAAGAAGAUUGCGUGAGUAUAAUGCACGCAUGAUGACGGUACCAACAGAAUAAGCACCGGCAAACUCUGUGCCAGCCGCCGCCGCAGUAACAC